This is a non-coding RNA of Plectropomus leopardus (leopard coralgrouper), 224 nucleotides long. The record is from RefSeq and is a predicted model, not a curated record. NCBI's taxonomy places the organism in Eukaryota, Metazoa, Chordata, Actinopteri, Perciformes, Serranidae.
AUAAACUGGAAGAACUGAAGACUUCCAAAAAGAAGAUACUGGAGGAAGUGAUGGAAACGGAGACGUACAAAAACGCCAAACUCAUCCUCGAGCGCUUCGAUCCUGAAGCGAAGAAGAAAGCUGAGCUGGAGUCGACUCCGGUGCGUCCACAGAUGACUCCCCGUCCGGGACAAGGUUCGACACACAUCAAUACACAACACAAAGAUACAACGCCACCUUUAACC